UAGGUCAUUUAACACGGGACCUAAUGUUCAUGGGGAAACUCCAUCCCUUCAAGGUGCUCUUGAACCCUUAACAUGCUCACAAUGCAGUGUCUGCUGUUUUAUUUAUCAUUUGCAUUCUGGCGUUUUAUGGAUAAAUAAGCUGCAAAAGUGAAUUCUGAGGGAAUGUUCUCAAUCUUGGGAUUUCUUAAGAUGCAUUGAAGACCUCCAGUCACUAGAAAAAAUGCCAACUUUAGAAAAACAACAUCUUCUCUGCUUCAUUGUGGUUUCCAUGGAUACAAUCAAUGGUCUGAGUCGCAGAAUGCAGGAAGAACCAGGUGUUGAGAUCUCAGCAGGUGUGAGGACAAAGCCACCUGAUGCAAAGAGAUUAAAGCAUCUUUUUAGCGGCGCAGAGCGGAGCAACAUUGCACUUCCUCAUACAUCAUGUGUGUCAACACUCAAAUCUACUGCAUUGAAAAUUGCCCCACAAAUCAGCAAGCAAUAAAGGAAACAGA
Cyprinus carpio carpio is the source of this 491-nucleotide long non-coding RNA. NCBI's taxonomy places the organism in Eukaryota, Metazoa, Chordata, Actinopteri, Cypriniformes, Cyprinidae. The record is from Ensembl.